GAUGAACGCUAGCGGCAGGCUUAACACAUGCAAGUCGAGGGGCAGCAUGACACGGAGAUUCGUCGAAGUGUUGAUGGCGACCGGCGCAAGGGUGCGUAACGCGUGAGCAACUUGCCCGUUUCUGGGGAAUAACCGGUGGAAACGCCGACUAAUACCCCAUAGUAUAACGAAGAGGCAUCUUUUUGUUAUUAAAGAAUUUCGGAAACGGAUAGGCUCGCGUGACAUUAGCUAGAUGGCGGGGUAACGGCCACCAUGGCGACGAUGUCUAGGGGUUCUGAGAGGAAGGUCCCCCACACUGGAACUGAGACACGGUCCAGACUCCUACGGGAGGCAGCAGUGAGGAAUAUUGCACAAUGGGCGAAAGCCUGAUGCAGCGACGCCGCGUGAGUGAUGAAGUAUUUCGGUAUGUAAAGCUCUAUCAGCAGGGAAGAAAAUGACGGUACCUGACUAAGAAGCACCGGCUAAAAUACGUG
RNAcentral lists this ribosomal RNA (473 nucleotides) under uncultured bacterium. Its description in RNAcentral is "bacterial SSU rRNA". It matches the Rfam family "Bacterial small subunit ribosomal RNA", at positions 28 to 507 of the family's 1533-position model. The record is from RNAcentral.